UGAAAAGAGGGGCCAUCGCCCCAUAAAUGGAGUUACAACCCACCGCUUUAACUCAGCCAUCUCUAC
RNAcentral lists this transfer RNA (66 nucleotides) under Physignathus cocincinus. RNAcentral's name for it is "tRNA-Tyr". Lineage: Eukaryota; Metazoa; Chordata; Lepidosauria; Squamata; Agamidae. The record is from RNAcentral.